AUGGAAGAGAAUGUUCCACGUACCUAUCGGAGUCGCUCCGAUGACGAUUCUACGGAGGCGGAAAAAGAAACGGAAACCUCGAUUAUUGCUGUUGUGUACUCCAGGUAUUUCCUUCUUGCUCUUACUUUUAUUCCUUCUUUGUCUUCUGUGAUCUUUGCCUCUUCUUCAACUUUCUGUGUGCGUAUGAAUUGUAGUCUAUGA
Non-coding RNA from Vicia faba (fava bean), 201 nucleotides. The record is from the annotation of a GenBank genome assembly. NCBI's taxonomy places the organism in Eukaryota, Viridiplantae, Streptophyta, Magnoliopsida, Fabales, Fabaceae.